AUUGAACGCUGGCGGCAGGCCUAACACAUGCAAGUAGAACGAGUGGCGGCCGGGUGAGUAAUGUCUGGGAACCUGCCCGAUGGAGGGGGAUAACUACUGGAAACGGUAGCUAAUACCGCAUACCAUCGGAUGUGCCCAUAUGGGAUUAGAUAGUAGGGGGGGUAACGGCUCACCUAGGAGACGAUCCCUAGCUGGUCUGAGAGGCUGACCAGCCACACUGGAACUGAGACACGGCCCAGACGCCUACGGGAGGCAGCAGUGGGGAAUAUUGGACAAUGGGCGCAAGCCUGAUGCAGCCAUGCCGCGUGUAUGAAGAAGGCCUUCGGGUUGUAAAGUACUUUCAGCGAGGAGGCGUUACUCGCAGAAGAAGCACCGGCUAACUACGUGCCAGCAGCCGCGGUAAUUC
Molecule: ribosomal RNA, 406 nt
Filed under: uncultured bacterium
Lineage: Bacteria
Description: partial 16S ribosomal RNA
Rfam family: Bacterial small subunit ribosomal RNA
Source: RNAcentral